RNAcentral lists this transfer RNA (76 nucleotides) under Stenotrophomonas phage Paxi. RNAcentral describes it as "tRNA-Arg". It matches the Rfam family "tRNA". Rfam says of the family: Transfer RNA (tRNA) molecules are approximately 80 nucleotides in length. Their secondary structure includes four short double-helical elements and three loops (D, anti-codon, and T loops). The record is from RNAcentral. Lineage: Duplodnaviria; Heunggongvirae; Uroviricota; Caudoviricetes; Schitoviridae. RNAcentral also lists the same sequence under 1 other name.
GUGUCCAUAGCUCAGUCGGUAGAGCAGCGGCCUUCUAAGCUGCCGGUCACUGGUUCGAUUCCAGUUGGACACCCCA